This 29-nucleotide non-coding RNA is filed under the name Cricetulus griseus (Chinese hamster). The record is from RNAcentral. Lineage: Eukaryota; Metazoa; Chordata; Mammalia; Rodentia; Cricetidae.
CUAAGGAAGACCAAGGAGCCUCAUUUCUG